CCUACGGGGAGCAGCAGUGGGGGAUAUUGCACAAUGGGGGGAACCCUGAUGCAGCGACGCCGCGUGUGGGAAGACGGUCCUCUGGAUUGUAAACCACUGUCCCCAGGGACGAAAAUGACGGUACCUGGGGAGGAAGCUCCGGCUAACUACGUGCCAGCAGCCGCGGUAAUACGUAGGGAGCGAGCGUUGUCCGGAAUUACUGGGUGUAAAGGGAGCGUAGGCGGGGAUGCAAGUUGGGUGUAAAAACUACCGGCUCAACUGGGAGUCGCACUCAAAACUGCAGCUCUUGAGUGAAGUAGAGGCAGGCGGAAUGCGUAGUGUAGCGGUGAAAUGCGUAGAUAUUAGGAGGAACACCAGUGGCGAAGGCGGCCUGCUGGGCUUUUACUGACGCUGAGGCUCGAAAGUGUGGGGAGCAAACAGGAUUAGAUACCCUUGUAGUC
Molecule: ribosomal RNA, 440 nt
Filed under: uncultured bacterium
Lineage: Bacteria
Description: partial 16S ribosomal RNA
Rfam family: Bacterial small subunit ribosomal RNA
Source: RNAcentral